This 107-nucleotide small nuclear RNA is filed under the name Salvator merianae (Argentine black and white tegu). The record is from RNAcentral. Lineage: Eukaryota; Metazoa; Chordata; Lepidosauria; Squamata; Teiidae.
GUGCAUGCUUCGACAGCACAUAUACUAAAAUUGGAACGAUACAGAGAUUAGCAUGGCCCCUGUGCGAUAAUAAUAAUAAGAAAAAUAAUUUGGAGAAACCACUUAUU